Parelaphostrongylus tenuis is the source of this 72-nucleotide non-coding RNA. The record is from the annotation of a GenBank genome assembly. NCBI's taxonomy places the organism in Eukaryota, Metazoa, Nematoda, Chromadorea, Rhabditida, Metastrongylidae.
AACUUGGUGGUGCAGUGGUAGCACGCGUCCCCGGAUAGGACGAAACGCUGGUUUGAUUUCCGUCUGAGGCCG